RNAcentral lists this ribosomal RNA (253 nucleotides) under uncultured bacterium. RNAcentral describes it as "partial 16S ribosomal RNA". It matches the Rfam family "Bacterial small subunit ribosomal RNA", at positions 524 to 776 of the family's 1533-position model. The record is from RNAcentral.
UACGUAGGGUGCAAGCGUUGUCCGGAUUUAUUGGGCGUAAAGAGCUCGUAGGCGGUUUGUCGCGUCGGAUGUGAAAACCCAGGGCUCAACCCUGGGCCUGCAUUCGAUACGGGCAGACUAGAGGUAUGCAGGGGAGAAUGGAAUUCCUGGUGUAGCGGUGAAAUGCGCAGAUAUCAGGAGGAACACCGGUGGCGAAGGCGGUUCUCUGGGCAUUACCUGACGCUGAGGAGCGAAAGUGUGGGGAGCGAACAGG